CGGCCUGGGUCUAGGCACAUGACAUUGUUCUUUGGCCCUUUGAAGGUCCUGCAACCCUGGUUCCAGUCUGGCAAGCAUUGUAGACCUGGCUGCUGAAGACUGACGGGGCCCAGGGUCCGCUGCCCCCACCGCCAUCACCACCUCGGAACCCAGGGUAACGCUGUCAGUCUUUGGACCAACCUCGCUGUGCCUAACAAGAAUUCCAGAAGUCACCCAUCCGAAAGGCACUGGCCCAUGACACUCUCCACUUCCAAUCUUAAAUCUUUUACUUCAUACCUUGUCUCAGAUCUCUCCUGGUACCCCUUCCCCACGCCCUUAGAUAAUCCAUCUCAAUUCCUCAUGCUAAUUGAGGAGCUAUGGCUGCAAGGCACCUUCCAGGAUUUCACACCUACACAAAUCUCCUUUUUCUCCUUUUGCCUUCUCUGCUUAUGGGAUAUUCUGAGUCCCCACCCCCAAUCACUGACAGCUGGGCCCCCUUCGUCAGCCUCACACACCACGUAUUAAGUCAGUCACAAUCUCCCCUCUCCUCUAACUGCUGGAUUUGUCUUUCUACACACACCCAAUGAUUCACGGCUCUUCCAGCUGACCUACUUACAUGGACACAGUCCAACGUGAGCUUACACAUUUCUUACUUGGCUAUACCAUUCUUGGCUGAUUCAUUCCUGAAACCGGUUCAUAACCUGGAAACUCAACUAAACACCUUUCCUUCAAACUCAGCUCUCUCAGCAUGGUUUCAGGUAGGGCUGUUGCCCUCCUUCACCUAAUAGCUUCUGGACUAACAUCCAUACAAACCAACACAGCGUCAUCUAAACCACCAAUAUGGGGGUACCAUUUCUACUCAAACUUCCUUCAUAUCCCCACCCCCCUUAUGUCUCAGCCAAACCUACCCUAAUCCAGCCCACGCCACAAUGGUGGGACAGGUUCCCCAGUCCCUAUGUGGUCUUAUUUUUACCCUUGCACUCCCUGUAGACCAUCAAUUCUACACCCUAAUUACAAAAUCAGAUCCACCUCUGCCUGGCAGAAGGUGUUAUGCUUUUCUGGCUCGCCUACCAUCCACACAUCCCUACACCUCAC
RNAcentral lists this long non-coding RNA (1074 nucleotides) under Pan troglodytes (chimpanzee). RNAcentral describes it as "long non-coding RNA NONPTRT018475". The record is from RNAcentral. Lineage: Eukaryota; Metazoa; Chordata; Mammalia; Primates; Hominidae.